UACGGAGGCCUCAAGCGUUGUUCGGAUUUAUUGGGCGUAAAGGGUGCGUAGGCGGUACCGAAAGUUAGGUGUGAAAGUUCGAGGCUCAACCUCGAAAGUGCACCUAAUACUCCGGUGCUUGAGUCUCAUAGAGGAAUCUGGAAUUCACGGUGUAGCAGUGAAGUGCGUAGAUAUCGUGAAGAGGGCCUGUGGCGAAAGCAAGAUUCUGGGUGACGACUGACGCUGAGGCACGAAAGCGAGGGGAGCAAACGGG
This 253-nucleotide ribosomal RNA is filed under the name uncultured bacterium. RNAcentral's name for it is "partial 16S ribosomal RNA". It matches the Rfam family "Bacterial small subunit ribosomal RNA", at positions 524 to 776 of the family's 1533-position model. The record is from RNAcentral.